Molecule: ribosomal RNA, 440 nt
Filed under: uncultured Paracoccaceae bacterium
Lineage: Bacteria; Pseudomonadati; Pseudomonadota; Alphaproteobacteria; Rhodobacterales; Paracoccaceae
Description: bacterial SSU rRNA
Rfam family: Bacterial small subunit ribosomal RNA
Source: RNAcentral
CCCGCACAAGCGGUGGAGCAUGUGGUUUAUUCGAAGCAACGCGCAGAACCUUACCAACCCUUGACAUGGGUAUCGCGGAACCAGAGAUGGUUCUUUCAGUUCGGCUGGAUACCACACAGGUGCUGCAUGGCUGUCGUCAGCUCGUGUCGUGAGAUGUUCGGUUAAGUCCGGCAACGAGCGCAACCCACACUCUUAGUUGCCAUCAUUCAGUUGGGCACUCUAGGAGAACUGCCGGUGAUAAGCCGGAGGAAGGUGUGGAUGACGUCAAGUCCUCAUGGCCCUUACGGGUUGGGCUACACACGUGCUACAAUGGUGGUGACAAUGGGUUAAUCCCAAAAAGCCAUCUCAGUUCGGAUUGGGGUCUGCAACUCGACCCCAUGAAGUCGGAAUCGCUAGUAAUCGCGUAACAGCAUGACGCGGUGAAUACGUUCCCGGGCCUU